AUUGCUUCUUGGCCUUUUGGCUAAGAUCAGGUGUGAUAUCUGUUCCUAUCAGUUUAAUAUCUGAUAUGUCCUUUAUCCGAAGACAAUAUAGCAAAUGGAUUUUUGGAGCUGGGAAAUGGAAUAGGGGCUUACACCAUUCACCCCACACAUUGAUCUGGUAUUGCAGUAUCUCCAGAAAUGAUGCACCCCUC
Molecule: small nuclear RNA, 191 nt
Filed under: Dasypus novemcinctus (nine-banded armadillo)
Lineage: Eukaryota; Metazoa; Chordata; Mammalia; Cingulata; Dasypodidae
Description: U2 spliceosomal RNA (ENSDNOG00000044185.1)
Rfam family: U2 spliceosomal RNA
About the family: U2 is a small nuclear RNA (snRNA) component of the spliceosome (involved in pre-mRNA splicing).
Source: RNAcentral